UAUUUACUUCAGAUAUAGUUAUAUGGUUAGUAAGAGGAAAUGGAAAAGGACAAUGUAGGAAUUAAAUGUGUGUAAUAAGUGCUUGAUCUCUAGUUUCUUGGCCUGUAAAACUUCGGAAAAAUCGAGCUGAGUUGAAUCAACCGAAUACUAUCUACGAUUGUAUGUAAUAAGUGCUUGAUCUCUAGUUUCUUGGCAUGUAAAAGCGAAAAUAUCGAGCUGAGUUGAGCCAACCAAAUACUAUCUACAAAUCAAGAAAAUAUUUACUUCGAGCUAAAAAUCUUGAAAAAGCUUGAGUGUGAUGGUAAGAUUUUCUUUCCAAGAAAAGGGCAACAAGAAGAAGAAGGGACUAAAUCCAUUUGUGUGAAAUAGAU
This 371-nucleotide long non-coding RNA is filed under the name Nicotiana benthamiana. RNAcentral's name for it is "long non-coding RNA (NBEN_LNC031929)". The record is from RNAcentral. Lineage: Eukaryota; Viridiplantae; Streptophyta; Magnoliopsida; Solanales; Solanaceae.